UACGUAGGGGGCGAGCGUUGUCCGGAAUGAUUGGGCGUAAAGGGCGCGUAGGCGGCUGUGCAAGUCAGUAGUGGAAGCCCAGCUUUUAAGGUUGGAAGUGCUAUUGAAACUGUGCAGCUUGAGUGCAGGAGAGGAGAGUGGAAUUCCUGGUGUAGCGGUGAAAUGCGUAGAGAUAUGGAGGAACACCAGUGGCGAAGGCGGCUUUCUGGCCAGUUACUGACGCUCAUGCGCGAAAGCUGGGGUAGCGAACCGGAUUA
Molecule: ribosomal RNA, 257 nt
Filed under: uncultured prokaryote
Description: partial 16S ribosomal RNA
Rfam family: Bacterial small subunit ribosomal RNA
Source: RNAcentral